Eriocheir sinensis (Chinese mitten crab) is the source of this 11724-nucleotide long non-coding RNA. RefSeq lists it as uncharacterized. The transcript has 2 exons. The record is from RefSeq and is a predicted model, not a curated record. Lineage: Eukaryota; Metazoa; Arthropoda; Malacostraca; Decapoda; Varunidae.
GCGCCAUCUUGCAAACAAGGAGAAAGGAGAAGGGUGUGGGGAGGGAGGGUCAGAAAGGAGACUCAGGUCAGGACAUGACCUGACUCAGGUCAAGUCAUGUCCAUACCUGUCACACACACAGAAGGUGAAAUGAGAAGGAUGUGGGGAGGAUGAGGCAGAAAGGAGUGUCAGAUCAGGAUAUGACCUGACUCUCCCUUCUGCCCCUCCCUCCCUCCACCCUUCUCAUUUCCCUUUCUGUGUGUGUGUGUGUCAUGACAUGACCUAACUCUCCCUUCUGCCCCUCCCCCCCACACCCUUCUAAUUUCCCCUUAUGUGUGUGACGCAGACCUGGAAAACUUGCUGGUUGCCCAAGCUGCCGCCAACGCGGUGGGAAGAAAAAGUCCCAGUGUGACACCAGCUUACGGACAACCGACAACUCGCUCCCGGAUGGGCGUACGGGUGUUGCCAGUAGCCACAACAGUUAGAGGAAAAUGGCCAGUGUGACACCACCUUAAGGCAGUCUACAUACACAUUACACAGACAUGCAUAAUGCAUGUAUAUAUUAAUUACAAACACAAAUACAUACAUACACACACCGUCACACGACACACACACAUCCUCAGCCAGUGCAAAGGUGGGAAUUCUGCAAUUUAAGUCGCUAAUGGCUAAUCUGACAAUAGUGGACUAACAAAAAAAUUGCGGAAUAGCGUUAGGGAAAAAUAAAGAUCGCGGAUUUGCAGUUAGCGGAAUGCCAAAAUUAUAGUCUACUAACGCAAACUUUAAAAAACCGCCAACAGUGAAAUUUCCGGGAACUUCAAGAAUAUUCUUGAAAGUGUGGAGAAACUUUUAAGUUAGGAUGGCCAGACGUCCCGGAUUUUAAUGAUUCGCCCAAGAAAUAAAAUUGUCUCGGAAAUAUCCCGGAUUUCAUGCAGUGUCGCGGAAAAUGUUUUUUUUAUUUUAUUAAAACGUCCCGGAUUUCACUUAAGUUCAUCACCCUUGUCCCCUCCUUUGCAGCUGUGGAGAGAUUGUUCAGCUUGUGCUCUGACGUCCUCAGGCCCAAGAGGUCAUCCCUUACUCAUGAUAACAUUGAAAAGUAGGUGUUUGUCAAUGGAAACAUGCACCUCUUGAAGGGGAAGUGGCUAUGCCAGAGGGAGGAUUUUGUAUUUUGCUGUUAGCAGACUGUUGCGGACUUCAUUAGUGGACUAAAAAAUAUAUUUGCGAUUGCUGACCGAAGAAGGAGGGAGAUUUGCGGAUUAGGGAUUACCGGAAUACCCAACAAAGUUACGGAAUUGUGGAUUGCAGACUAACAAAAAAUUAACAGGUGCCCACCUCUGUCAGCCACACAAUCUCUCUCUCUCUCUCUCUCUCUCUCUCUCUCCUUGCCAGGCAGGCUGCAUCCAUUCAUGCCUACGCAAUAUUGCAUAUAUGUACCACAUACGGUACUAUUACACAGUAAAGACAUACAUACUUUUACAAAUUUACAUGAAACAUACAUACUACAUAGUCACUAUGUAAAAUUAUCUCCCUCCUUCUACUCUUCCGUAAAACUUUCGACACAUUAGGGUGGGUAUAUUUGAAAGGAAAUUAAUUAAUACAAGGUGUAAUUUUAGUAGAUAAUUAAGUAAAUAGCCUAUGCAUUACUUAAUUUUCUUCAACUUCGCAAACACUCGAUCUGCACUGAGUCUGCGACUCUGUAAUGUUUAAAGCAUAUCCGUCACAUCCUCAUUGUGUGUGGUGCAGAUGCGGAUACGGAUGCGGAUAUUUACUUCAUCGCAAAUGCGGAUGCGGAUAUCUGAUACAUGAUUAAUAUAUAUAUAUAUAUAUAUAUAUAUAUAUAUAUAUAUAUAUAUAUAUAUAUAUAUAUAUAUAUAUAUAUAUAUAUAUAUAUAUAUAUAUAUAUAUACACACACACACACACACACACACACACACUAAGAUAUCUUUAUCAAAAAUUCUAAAUUCCCGAAACCUCCAAAAUUCAUAAGUUUGAGUGGGCACAAUGUGAUGCAAACAGAACUUCCACAUUUCCAUUGAGCUGGUGCCAGCCUGUUGUCAGGAAUAGUCAUGGCUACACAUUUGUGCAUUACUAAAUGUUUUGUGCUUUUUGGUGAAGAUAUUGUUCAAAAUAUAUAGCCAAGGCCUGCAGAUACUACUAUGGGUAAAAGUGAAAAGAAAAACAGUAAGCAUAUACGUUUAUCUAUUCCAGAAAGUAAAAUUUUAAGAAAACUUGACAGCAGGGUGAGUGUGAAGCAUAUAGCUGAGGAAUGUGUUAUUGGAACAUCCACUAACUAGGACCUAAGGAACCAGGACAAAUUAUUGAAGUUCCAUCCUGAAAAUUCUGGACAAUUUAACAAAACGAGAAAUCCAUUGCACAAUGAAAAAUUAAGGGUAAACUUGCUGUGGUAUGUAAGAACUUGCUUCCACACUGUUUUAAAGAUGUGAAUACCUUUCUGGUGUAAUCCUAUGCUAAAAUAGGAGUAUGAAUCACCAGGGACAGCUUCUCUGUUUGGGUUCACAUACACACAGCACCUCAUGCACACUGCAAGGAAGUCAGUUUGAAUGUCAAGUGCAAAAUUUUGUUACUCCUUGACAAUUGUUUUGCUCAUCCUCUGAGCUUGUUUUUAUUUUUUAAUCAUCCACAAUAAUUAUGCCAUGUACUUUCCUCCAGUGUGACCCCAUUAAUUUAACCAUGUGAUCAGGGCAUCCCUUUCAAUAAAGAGCAAACAUAAACAUAAUUUCUUGAAUACCAUGUAGCCAGCAGUGAACAGAGGCAUUGGUGUGAAGGCUGGCAGAUAUGCAGCUGCCAAUGCAUGGAAUCGUGUAACUAAAGACACCAUUGCACAUGCCUGGCACAACUUCUGGCCUGUGACUAUUUUGAGCAAUGAUGAUGGACAAUAUGAAGUGUGAGGGAAUUGGCAUGUCGAGGGAGAAAAAAUAUCAUCUCAUUGCAUAAGCAAAAAAAUACACAUUCCAAGUCCAACAGUAACCGAUGAAGAGGAUAUUGCAGAAAUUCUUUACAUCUAUAUCGACACUCCAGUUGUUCAUUCAAUAACAGAUGGUGAAAUAGCUGCAAUGGUUCUGAAUCAAGGUGAUCAUGAAGGUAAUAUAAUCACAAUGAAGAUGACAUUGUUGCUACAGCAAAAAAGGUGGCCAGAAACAUGGUGAAAAUAUGGAAUAGACUUAUUGAAGGACUAGAAAAGUGUGCAUUCAUAAGAGAAAAAGAAAAAAAAUCUGCAUAGUACUUCCUCAUUCCUGUAGCAUCAGUAAAAGAAAGACCAAAACACACCAGAACCUAAACUAUUUUAUGUUCUCAUGGAAGGUGACUCCUUUCCAAACAGUAACCUUCCUUCUCCAUACUUCCCAUCUCUGCAACAUCCACUUAUGGCAGUAAACUCCAUUACAUGAAGGUAAUGAUCUUUUUUCUCUGUGCUUUAAUUAAAAAAUUUCAUUCAGAAAUGAUAUCAAUGACUUAAUUUUAUUGCUUUAUUGUCUUAUAUUUUGGGGUAAAAAACAUUUCAGGAAUCAGUUUUGGUGGCCUAAGACUGAUUAAUUGAAUCCACAUGCAUUUCAGUAGGAUAUACUGCAUUGGAUCUCUCACAUUUUCACAGCUCACACACAUCUCUGGAACCAGUCAUGUGAAAACUGAGGUACCACUGUAUACCAAAAAUUCAGAACCCCCCAAAUCUGGAACACUGCUGAUCUCGAGCAUUCCAAGUAAGGGAUACUCAACCUGUAUGUAUGCAUGUAUGUAAGAACCCUAAAUCUGGCCUUAGAUUACCCACAUGUUGUCCUGAUGACCAACCAUCAACCUGGACUCUAGAUUAACUCUAAAGAGCAUCAAGAAUGAGCUCUGGGACAGCAUGAGCUAAACAAGAUGGCACCACUAUAAAACACUUGCCUGUGCCAUAACAGGCUGGGGCUGACCACCGAAGUCCACCAAGAAAGCCAACCAGCACCAUAGGCUAAACAGGAAAAAAAAAGUUGUGCAGGUACACACUCAAAAAAGUAUCGUUACAGUUGGGUUCGACGAGUUUCCCACUGAAAAACCUGGUAGUCUCGGCAGGGUUGGUAAGCAUGUCUGUGUGCGGGGUGGCAAAUAGGACCCAGCAGAAACAUGCAUGGGAGAAGUAUUGAAUAUAGCUAAUAUCUACCUAUCUAUAUUUAGAAAGACUAUCUUUAGUCUAUCUUUAGCUAGACAUAGAUAUAGAUAGAUAGAUAUAGAUAGAAAUAGAUACUUAAAAGAAAAUAGAUUUAGAUAGAAGAAUUUAAUUAAUCUACCACGCUGGGAUAAUGACUCAACAACAAUUAUUAGAGAAUUAAUCUUGUUGGAUGCAUUUCAUGAUUGUUUCGAGACAAAUGAAUACUGUGACACGAGCAUUAUAUGCUAUACCAGUGAAACCAAGCUCAACGUUAUCUUCCCAUUUAGCUGAUAAAUCAAGUCUAUAAUUCUACUAUAAAUCUAUCAUUAAGGGUAAUCUUAGGUAACUUCCUAGGGUCAGUGGAAGCAUAUGUGGCGAUCAGUCAGUGGGAUUCACUCUGUUAUCCAAGUCCUGAGUGACUGAUCAUUUAUGGAGUGUCAAAUGAUUUGGUCAGUAGUGAGGUCAACAUAACACACAACUUGUUCGUCUCAUUCACCAUGGUAAGCACACAAGCUACACGACUUGUGUGUGAAGUGUGAAAGCACAAUUUCAUUAUGCAAACACGACAAUAUUAUAGUGCUACAACACAGAUCAAAUUACUAGUACUUGCUCAAAUAGGGUUCUGCCUGUGUUUCAUGCAGCAUUACUGUGGUAGCUCAAAUCCUAUUAUUUCAUUCAUGAGUGCUGCCCCCUUGCUUCAGGCAGGUGCACCGCUCCAAACACUGAGACACCAACAUAGUAGCCUGUUAUCAAUAGAUCCGUCCUUGGUGUCGGUUUGUGUUGUGCUGUGUAACGAUACUUUUUGGAGUGUGUAUACAAGAGGACACUGUUGAUUAGCUGAUGGAAUGGAAACAUUCUUCACAACUGAACUUCACAAUUUUACGCUCUCAAUCUAGAGAUCCUAUCUCUGCAACAAGUAAAACAAAGUACAAAUCUAGAAUAUGAAUAUAAUGAAUGCAGUUGUCACGGAGUGGUGUGGUAUGAGGUGUGCAGUGAGGAAGAUUAUUUAGAAUAUUAGUUAGAACACUUUGCUUUAAUGUAUUUGAGGAAAAUGUAAAAAGCAUUUCUAGUGAAAUUUUCGUUAAAAAUAUCAUCUGAAUAAAGAAAGUUCAUGAACUGAUAUAUCUUUUUAAAGCAAAUCAAAGAUUGAGCCUAUCAUGAACAGUCUCCCUUUUCAUCAUUAGUUCUCCAGCCCUGUAGAGGACACUUGAAAAUCAUAACAAUAACUGACUAGACUUGUAUGGUUGAUUUUAUAAUAGUAGAGAACAGCAAAAGUAAAAUAAACUAAGCACUUCAUUCUAAGCUAAUGUGAUGUUAAUUCAAACCCAUUCUGCUGAGUUACUUGGGGACACAUCUCAAAGAAGCACAUGCAUGUAUACACUCAACCAUGCACAGCUGAGUAUGCUCACACUUUUAUACACACACACACACACACACACACAGAAAAAUACAUAUGUACUAAUUUACAAAUGUUAACUUUAGCUAGUCCAUUAAUUUGAAUACAAGUAAGAAAUGAAGAUAAAAAUGGAUGAUGCACCUUCCACAUGCUUUGCUUAUUGCUUUCAAGAUAUUGUAUCCUUAGGAAUUAAAUGUGCCAAACAAUAUCCUGGGAUUCCUCAUUAUUUGCACGUUCCUCAGGCAAUACAUUCAGUUAUAUGUACAUAUCAGUCCUCAACACUUUGUGAUGCAUGCUCUCCAGUUGCCAGUUCUAUGUAUAUAUGCUGUGAGAUUGCAUGUAAGAGUAUACAUUAGCAGACUAUAUUUAAAUCUGAAUAAAAGGGAGUACCUAUUCUCCACUGUAUGGAGGACUGCUAUGUUUGGAUGCCCAGAAUCAACAACCAAAAUGUUGGAUGCUUCAGCGCUGCUGCACACAGUAUCCAUUGUCUACAUGCUCUAGCUGACCACCUGGUUGUACUCAUGUUCCAGUUGUCAAGAAUUGUUACUAUACUCUUAUAGACAGAAACAAGCAUUAGUAAAUCAUUCCCAGUUGUAUUAUAAUUUUCAGCUCCUGGAGAAAUAAAAAGAAAAUGGCAGACGCUUAGUCACUGCCGCCAGCGAUGUGUGUCCUUGGUUUACUUAUACUUCAGGUUUUUUAAUAGCAUGUUUUUAUACCAAUCAAUUUUAUAUAUAUGUAAAGCUCACAUUUAUUUCAAUGUUUGAUGUUACAAGUGUUUUGGGUCUUCAUUUAGAAGUUUGAUGUUGUAUUAUCUGAAAAGAAACAAGCCAUAGGAACAUAACUCUUGUAUAUUUCAGUUAGCCUAUGAUAAAAUUAGAUUCAGUAUAUGAAUUUGCAAGUAUCUGGCAAAAAUACAAGUGAAUACCCUGCACUUGACACAAAAACAUUUUUCAUGAAUACUUAUACACUUUAUCAACACUGUAGCGAUAUUUAAAAAAAACAUGAAAAGAAUAUCUCAAGAAACAUACAGUAGGAUCUUACCAAUAACAAUAUCUAAAGUAAUGUUUUGGAUAACAACAGCAAGUCAAAAUAUAUACCAAGCUUCUAUGAUAAGAUUUAGAUUUUUUUAAUAACUGGUUUUUUUUAUUUUUUAUUUUUUUUUUAUGAAAGGAAGCAUCUGGGAUUAACAUGGAAAGAGCUUGUGCAGCCAUCCUGAUGAUGUAUUCAGACUUUCACCCUGGUUCUAUAAUGUAUAUCAAUGUUACACAAAAAAUGUUUUUGUAAAUAACUGUCUUUCAGGCACCAAUUAGAUGUUAUUACCAAAAUCCUACUGUACUUGUUUCCACUGAAAACAUAAAUAUAAGUUACUCUUCACUACCAUCACCUGCAAAGCUAUGCAAUUUGUGUCUAUGACCAGCAUCCCUUUUCUUCAUGCCUCAAGUAUUGGAGGCAAACAACCUACUUAAGACCAGUGUCUAUGACCCACAUCACUCUCUUCAUACCUCAAAUAACCUACUUGAUACCAGUUACAUUAUUACAAUGAUAAAUGGCUUGGACCUGUUACUGAUACACAAACCUAAAUAGAGACUGAUACUUGGCUGACAGAAAAACUACUUCAGAUUCUAAUACAUUAGACCUUUAUAAUUAGUUAAAACAGGUCUCUCAGAGACUUGUUCCAUUGUAAUAAUUCUCAAAUACAACUUAUUCUCUCCUAAUUCUUUAUUAGGUCUAAUAACUCUGGACACUUUUAUGAAGAUGAAUUAUGCAGCCUCAGACAUAUUACAGUACCAGUCAAUGUAAUGGAGAUACAAUUUGUUCUGUUGAAAUUGUUUAUGAAACAAACUCCAAUAUAUAUAUAUAUAUAUAUAUAUAUAUAUAUAUAUAUAUAUAUAUAUAUAUAUAUAUAUAUAUAUAUAUAUAUAUAUAUAUAUAUAUAUAUAUAUAUAUAUAUAUAUAUAUAUAUAUAUAUAUAUAUAUAUAUAUAUAUAUAUAUAUAUAUAUAUAUAUAUAUAUAUAUAUAUAUAUAUAUAUAUAUAUAUAUAUAUAUAUAUAUAUAUAUAUAUAUAUAUAUAUAUAUAUAUAUAUAUAUUUCUUUUUUUUCUGGUGACUAUGAGUAUCAAGUGUUUGCAGCAUAACCCCAAAGGAAUGUAGUUAAUCUAUUUUUUUUGUUUUCUGGUGAUUGGGACCAUCAAGUGUAUUGCUACAUAACCCUAAAGGAAUGUACUUCCUAUUGUAUGAGCACCUGUCUUCCUACCUGGUGCAUAUCAUUAUGAUAUAUAUGAGCCACUUGAGUGAAAAAUAUCCCUCUCCUAAAGUAGCUGAACAUUUUUGUAUAACCAAACUACACACAAAGAAAAUUAUAAUGGAAAACAGAACACUUGGGUUUUCUUCCUCAUCAGAAGAUAAGACGUGUUCAUCAUGUCUUUGAUGCACAAUAUCUUUAAAGAAAAGCUAAUCAUGAAUGCACACCAAUGUGUAUAUGCAUGAAUGUGUGUAUGUGUGUGUGUUUAAUUUACCACGACCUGAUCACAAGCUGGACUCGUCAUCGCCAGCAAGUAACCUCCCAACAAGAGCAAGGCUCAUUGAAGUCAAUCUCUGGGUACUACCGGGACCUUCACACACCACACACCCCACUCAAGGGGGGACAGUAACCCCUUCUUGUUAGCAGAAAAAUCCCGGUCUGAGAGGGGCUCUAACCUCCGCCUGCCAGGUGUGACAGCACAGAGCUUUACCAUUGAGCUAUUGGAGCGGUGUGUGUGUAUUUACCUAGUUGUAGUUUUACAGGGCUUUAUGCUCGUGUGGUCCCGUCUCCGUAUCUAUAUUUAUCCAACUUUUCCUUAAAGCUUUGCACACUCCUCGCUGAUAUUACAUCCUCACUCAGUCUGUUCCAAACCUCUAUAUUUCUUUGCGGGAAGCUAUAUUUUUUUAUGCCUCUCAAGCAUCUUCCCUUCCUCAAUUUUUUUACUAUGUCCUCUUGUGUUACCGGUGGUAAUUUCUUCUUUAGUGUGUGUGUGUGUGUGUGUGUGUGUGUGUGUGUGUGUGUGUGUUUACAUAAUUGUGAUGUAUAGGAAGUGAGCUACACUUGUGGGGUCCGGUCUGCAAAUCUUCUAUUAUCAAGUUUAGGUUUAAAUUCAUUAUCUAUUUACUGUUUAUUGUAUUAUGUGUUGUUUACUUAUUUUCUUUUCAAAAUAUAGCCCCUAAAAAUGGGGUGGGUCUUCAAUGCUGGCAAAUAUGGUACUGAAAUGACUCGGGUCACAGUGCUGACUGCACCUAUCCACGCAUGUCAGAUUGCCGGUUCCACACCAAUGUCUCCAAUGUACCCAGCAAUAAACAUUAUGUUUCUUUGCUGAGGUUACAAGUGCCAAGAUGACAGAGUAAGCCAAAUGAGUUGGGGAGUUGAUACAUGGGGAAAAGCUAAGGGAGUACCUGUAUUUUGUAAACAUUAUGGCAGGCAAGAUGUAGCAGCAAUACAAGUGUAACCAGUGUCACCAUUUCUGUUUCCUCUUGCCUCCUGCGAAUGUUUUGUUCAACACAUUGUAGGACUACAUUCACUAGAGCACAUUAUGGCAAAUACCGCUCGUGGGGGGAGGGGGUGACUGACCAACUGGCCCAGCUGGACAAUGGAUUAGCUGUGCUCAGCUAAAACUGCAUCCCACACAACACCCCCACACCAUCUCUUGUAAGCGACCCUUUACUGGAAGCAGUCGCAAUCAUAAUACUUGAAAGAAACAUUAUCACGAGGCAAGAAGUAGAAGAGGUUACAAUGGCCACACCCAUAUACAGUAGAUCCCUGACAUUUGUAGAUUAACUUGCUGUUUUACAAGUGACUAAUUAUCCUGGACCAAAACACACUCCGUUCUUUCUUUUGUGAUAUUUAUAUUUGUAUUUAUAUAUAUAUAUUUUUUUUUUGUGUGUGUGGUGUGUGUGUGUGUGUGUGUGUGUAUUGUCAUACUUUAAUUGUUAUAUAUCAAAUUCUGACAAUGAUGUACUACCUCAAACUCUAUCUUCCAUGUUCCACAUAUGGACAUUAGCUUAAGAGUACUCAACAACUAAGACUUUUAUAGAGGAGACACUGCAAGAGAUGACAAUGGAGGACUUGUAAUCCCCUCUUAUAAAACAUUUUCUUCCACUUGAGUUUACCAUCACUCACCACAAGUGGGAAAGGGAUUGUUGUAUAAAAAUAUAAAUAAAUCAUUAACAGAGCAUGAUGAUACAUAUUUUUUUUCUUCUAUUUUCAAUGUGUUAACCCAUUGUGCCUGCAAGUUUAAUUGAAGGGACCUGGUGCUAAGCCCAAGUCCAUUACUGUCAAAAUCUUUCUUUACACCAUUGCUUAUAGAUUAUGCCAAUAAUCUUUUAGCACAUAGAUCCAUCCAAUUCACCAAACCUAGUAUGCUCUUCUGAUUGGCUUGCAAAAUCUCAAUAAAGUCAGCUUAGAAUAAAAGCGCAUCUCAUUAGAUUCCAUGGAGAAAAAAAAAGGUAAAAUGUUGUGCAUGUCAUAAAUUUUUUAGGGAAAAUAACCAAAAUAAUAAAGGCUUUCAAAAAUUAAGGAAGUUUCAUAAGAGAACAGAUCACACCAAGUUCAACAGCUGAUUAGAAGGCUAGGCAGGGAAUAGUGAGAAAGUGUAUCAUUCCAUCCACCAUUAUGCAGCCUUUCUUCCUCUCAUCACUUGAUUGUCAACUAACUCCUCUUACUCUGAGUGAAUAUGAACAUCCCUUGCAACUUUCAUGCCUAUAUAUUUUCUUUACCACCUAAGGCAUUCCCCCACACAUAUCCUUGAGAAUCAAAGAGUCUGAGAUCCUCAUGUCACAGCAUGCCUGUUAACAAUGUUUUUUUUCGUUACAUGAACAUUUGCUGUCCAUACACAAAAAUUAAUUCACGAUCUGUUGCCCCUCCGACUUCUUAACUUUUCAGAUGUCUCUCCAUCUACAGGAGUGAUUGGAAGGAACAGCUUACAGAAUGAAGCACUAAUUUCUCACAUAGCAAGGCUUACUAUAUCAUCAUCACAAGUAGAAGUCCUAUCACAAUGUACUACAUGCAAUAUUUAGAUUAAAACUGAUUAAAACAGUUCUAGACAUUAUUAGCUGUAAGACUAACAAUGUAUUUUGCAGCCUAUAAGAUGCAUUUCUCCAACAUUAACACCCUUAAAAAUCACUUUGUAUCUUACCUUAAAGACUAGCAGCACUUUCAUCCAAACCUAACUUACACUCUGCAUCUUAUGGGGGGCAAAAUGCAAUGAUGUGAAGAGUAUAUCAUCCUCAAAAAUCACAUAUACCAAACAGGUAUUGUGGGUCUUGAUAAUAUACAACAAUAAUAAUAUUGAUAAAAAUAAUAAUAAUAAUAAUAAUCAUUAUUAUUAUUAUCAUAAUAGAAAUACAAAAAUAAUGUUUCAAAUCAUUUUGGUUACAUACUAUAGAGUGAAAUAUAACUCCUUACCCAACAAGGAAAGAUUUCAUAAUCUAAAUUGCUCAUGCAUAUAAAAAAAGGGAAAACAUGUAAGACAAUGCAACAUAACCUAUUCUACACACGUGAAAGCAAUCAAAAUGUGUGUAACCACAAAGUUCAAACAAACAAAUUGAAGGCCACCUCAGAGGCUUCCUUAUAAAGAUUUAUUCACUUUAAGCCACUAUAUGUUCAAGACUUAAUAUCUGCCCAAAUUCACAAUUCAUAUAUUAUGGAAAAUGUGCAUCUGUAUGAACAAACACCAGUGAAUAUACAUUCCCUCCUCCUAAAGGGAACAGGACUCAAAAGACCCUUGUUACUCCCAAUCCUUGUAUCCAUCCCACACUUUCUGGAAUAAGCUUUACACAAAUUUCUUGCACAUCACUAAGGUACAUCAUACAUGUCAAGUAUCCUAGAUGAAAUAUCAGUAUAAAUUCGAUCAUAUAAAUAUUUAUACCUCAAAAUCACUUCUUAAAUUUAUAUAUCACCACAAUAUGUUUUUGGCACUGUGUUUUAUAAUCAAAUAUACAUAAUGCAACUUCUCUAAUUUACUGUGCAUCAUACAGAUUCAGCAAGACUAACUAAACUAUAUGUUUAAUUCACCUUUGGAUCAGUGUCCUAUUAUACCCAAUGAAGGUAGAAAAAAAUAUAUAGUAUAUUUAAUAAUAAUAAUAAUAACAAUAAUAAUAAUGGUAAUAAUAAUAAUAAUAAUAAUAAUAAUAAUAAUAAUAAUAAUAAUAAUAAUAACAUAAAUAAUAAUAAUACAGCAA